UGGUAAGAAAACCCAUCAGCCACACUGGAACUCUGCCGACUCUUCUCGGAAUCUGUUGUCUCUCAUGCUUCACCUUUUACACUAUUCUCUAGGAACUUGCUCAGCCCGCUGGAAGAGGAGCCUCGAAAUUCUGUCAUCCCGGAAGCCAAUUGCUCUAGUUUGGAUAAGGAGUGUUUCUUCCCGCUACCACAGCUCUUGCUAUGAAGCCAAGGAGUGGCGACCUCUUGUCACUGGGCAUGGUUCCCCCAUGCCCAGGAGCUUGGAGCAUGGUGAGAAGUUCUGAGAAAGCCAGGAGCCCACAGCCCAAGUCAAUCAGAGUGCUAUGUGGUACAGGACUCUCUCCAAUGGCACAUGCAAACCUGAGUUCAUCUGUAGGGGAAGAUGCUUUCAAGAUAACUCAGGGAAAGGAAGAGCCAUCACAUGGACAGUGUCAGGCAGCUCAAGUCAGGAAGGAGCUCCAGCUCAGACCGUGAGCAGAUGCCAGAUGUCAUCGAUGCCCAGGGACAGACUGGAACGCGUCUCUGCCUCUGCCCAAGCCAUCUCUAACCACAGGAGAAGGCUGUGCCUCCCCAACACUGACCCAGCUAUCAGGCUGAGAGUCCUUUGUGGAAUAUGCACUGUCGCUCCCUAUGGAGAACAAAAGGCUAUCUCGAGCUGGAAACGAUCAGCAGAGGUGAAGUGUGACUGGACUUCAAGAAGAAAGGCUGGGACUGAGGAUCGGCUGUAACUUUGUCCCUGGGCUCCCCCAGCUGGUUCUUUCACAGUAGAGUCCCCAGUUAAUUCAAGCCUGCCCCCCCCAACCCCCCCUCCCCCCCCCACCCCACCCCCCCCCCCGUAACCUGCCCUUCUGUGUGUGAAGUUGUAAUCUGGAGAGCUGCAGCACACACGGAUGGUGGAAGGCCUAAGGAACUCCACCCCUGCUGUGGAGUUGUUACCUGUGCUGGGGCAAGACAGCUGCCUUGGGGUCCCCUGCUCCUGUAAGUAACCCCUCAACCUUGCUCUGUAAAUAAGCCAAAUAAACUCAUGGGCUCCCCACA
This 1037-nucleotide long non-coding RNA is filed under the name Mus spicilegus (steppe mouse). RNAcentral's name for it is "lncRNA (ENSMSIG00000030300.1)". The record is from RNAcentral. Lineage: Eukaryota; Metazoa; Chordata; Mammalia; Rodentia; Muridae.